RNAcentral lists this ribosomal RNA (425 nucleotides) under uncultured bacterium. Its description in RNAcentral is "partial 16S ribosomal RNA". It matches the Rfam family "Bacterial small subunit ribosomal RNA", at positions 354 to 796 of the family's 1533-position model. The record is from RNAcentral.
GUGGGGAAUCUUGCGCAAUGGGCGAAAGCCUGACGCAGCCAUGCCGCGUGAAUGAUGAAGGUCUUAGGAUUGUAAAAUUCUUUCACCGGGGACGAUAAUGACGGUACCCGGAGAAGAAGCCCCGGCUAACUUCGUGCCAGCAGCCGCGGUAAUACGAAGGGGGCUAGCGUUGCUCGGAAUUACUGGGCGUAAAGGGCGCGUAGGCGGACAGUUUAGUCAGAGGUGAAAGCCCAGGGCUCAACCUUGGAAUUGCCGUUGAUACUGGCUGUCUUGAGUACGGGGGAGGUGAGUGGAACUCCGCGUGUAGAGGUGAAAUUCGUAGAUAUUCGGAAGAACACCAGUGGCGAAGGCGACUCACUGGCCCGUUACUGACGCUGAGGCGCGAAAGCGUGGGGAGCAAACAGGAUUAGAAACCCGGGUAGUCC